UACGUAGGGGGCAAGCGUUGAUCGGAAUUACUGGGCGUAAAGCGGGCGCAGGCGGUUUUGUAAGUCUGGCGUGAAAUCCCCGGGCUUAACCUGGGAAUUGCGUUGGAGAUUGCAAGGCUAGAGUCUGGCAGAGGGGGGUAGAAUUCCACGUGUAGCAGUGAAAUGCGUAGAGAUGUGGAGGAACACCGAUGGCGAAGGCAGCCCCCUGGGUCAAGACUGACGCUCAUGCACGAAAGCGUGGGGAGCAAACAGG
RNAcentral lists this ribosomal RNA (253 nucleotides) under uncultured bacterium. RNAcentral describes it as "partial 16S ribosomal RNA". It matches the Rfam family "Bacterial small subunit ribosomal RNA", at positions 524 to 776 of the family's 1533-position model. The record is from RNAcentral.